GACGAACGCUGGCGGCGUGCUUAACACAUGCAAGUCGAACGGUCACGCUUCGGUGUGAUAGUGGCGGACGGGCGAGUAACACGUAGUUAACCUACCGUAUAGUGGGGAAUAACCCCUCGAAAGAGGAGCUAAUACCGCAUACGCUCUCUCGUGAUAGCGGGAGAGGAAACCCUUUUCGUAAGAGGAGGGGCUAUAUGAUGGGACUGCGGCGGAUUAGCUAGAUGGUGGGGUAAAAGCCUACCAUGGCGACGAUCCGUAGCUGGUCUGAGAGGACGACCAGCCACACUGGGACUGAGACACGGCCCAGACUCCUACGGGAGGCAGCAGUGAGGAAUAUUCCACAAUGGGCGCAAGCCUGAUGGAGCGACGCCGCGUGGGGAAGAAGCCUUUC
This 391-nucleotide ribosomal RNA is filed under the name uncultured bacterium. Its description in RNAcentral is "bacterial SSU rRNA". It matches the Rfam family "Bacterial small subunit ribosomal RNA", at positions 28 to 419 of the family's 1533-position model. The record is from RNAcentral.